GACGAACGCUGGCGGCGUGCUUAACACAUGCAAGUCGAACGGAAAGGCCCUGCUUUUGUGGGGUGCUCGAGUGGCGAACGGGUGAGUAACACGUGAGUAACCUGCCCUUGACUUUGGGAUAACUUCAGGAAACUGGGGCUAAUACCGGAUAGGAGCUCCUGCUGCAUGGUGGGGGUUGGAAAGUUUCGGCGGUUGGGGAUGGACUCGCGGCUUAUCAGCUUGUUGGUGGGGUAGUGGCUUACCAAGGCUUUGACGGGUAGCCGGCCUGAGAGGGUGACCGGCCACAUUGGGACUGAGAUACGGCCCAGACUCCUACGGGAGGCAGCAGUGGGGAAUAUUGCAAAAUGGGCGGAAGCCUGAUGCAGCAACGCCGCGUGCGGGAUGACGGCCUUCGGGUUGGAAACCGCUUUCGCCUGUGACGAAGCGUGAGUGACGGUAAUGGGUAAAGAAGCACCGGCUAACUACGUG
This 468-nucleotide ribosomal RNA is filed under the name uncultured bacterium. Its description in RNAcentral is "partial 16S ribosomal RNA". It matches the Rfam family "Bacterial small subunit ribosomal RNA", at positions 28 to 507 of the family's 1533-position model. The record is from RNAcentral.